This 466-nucleotide ribosomal RNA is filed under the name uncultured bacterium. RNAcentral's name for it is "partial 16S ribosomal RNA". It matches the Rfam family "Bacterial small subunit ribosomal RNA", at positions 28 to 507 of the family's 1533-position model. The record is from RNAcentral.
GACGAACGCUGGCGGCGCGCCUCACACAUGCAAGUCGAACGAGCGAGCGAGAGCUUGCUUUCUCAAGCGUGUCGCAAACGUGUGUGUAACGCGUGAGACCCCUGCCUCAAAGAGGGGUACAACUGUUGGAAACGACUUCUAAUCCCGCAUACGCCCGCGCCCCCGCCUCGGGUAGGGGGAAAAGGAGCAAUCCUCUUUGAUAUGGCCUCGCGUCCGAUUCGCUAGUUGGUGAGGUAACGGCCCACCAAGGAGACGCUCGGUAGCCGGACUGAGAGGUUGAACGGCCACAUUGGGAAUGAGACACGGCCCAGACUCCUACGGGAGGCAGCAGUGGGGAAUAUUGCACAAUGGGGGAAACCCUGAUGCAGCGACGCCGCGUGGAGGAAGAAGGUCUUCGGAUUGUAAACUCCUGUUGUUGAGGAAGAUAAUGACGGUACUCAACAAGGAAGUGACGGCUAACUACGUG